RNAcentral lists this long non-coding RNA (1259 nucleotides) under Cimex lectularius (bed bug). RNAcentral's name for it is "uncharacterized LOC106664680, transcript variant X1". The stretch from base 301 to 384 matches the Rfam family "mir-46/mir-47/mir-281 microRNA precursor family". Lineage: Eukaryota; Metazoa; Arthropoda; Insecta; Hemiptera; Cimicidae. The record is from RNAcentral.
AUUCCCGUCUAAUUUGAAUUUUUCCCCUGGAGUUAAUUGGCCGACUUGGGAGAAGGGAGUCGGUGAGAUAUGGCCAAGUGGUAGGGGAAGAGAACGACAAAACCAACAGGUGUAACACACAAUGGCUCACUUUUUAGUAUUCCAUCAUCCAUCGAUCAGAGAAGUGGGAAGAAAGAAAACCUCAUUUUCUGCCGAGGCGAAAUGUUACUUCCCGAAAGAUGUAAAAUUAAAUAAAUAUAUUCUGCAAAAAUUUUAAGCCAGGAAACGACAGAACUUACAGCAGAUCCGCACGUCUAGCUCGGGCAGGUGCUAUCAAGAGAGCUAUCCGUCGACAGUACAAGUGAGUUUCACUGUCAUGGAGUUGCUCUCUUUAUAGGCGUGCUCACACAUCUUCAGACUCGGGACCAUCAGCCGAUAAGACAAAAUCAAACUUUGAUCAACUGUUGACAGCAUUUCUAGUCCACCGAGUUUCACCACCAUUACUGUCAACACUUCAAAUUCAAUUUUUUCUCUUUUUUUCUCAUAACGCAUUUUAUCUUGGAGGUAUGUAGUUCUGUAAAAACAAAGUAGUCUAAAUAAUAAUAGACUGGGUUUUGGUGAAAAGUACAACUGGUGCAAAGAUGAACAGACAAAAUAAAAACAAAGGACAAUAACAACACUGACAGAUCAGAGAAAAAUAUUUCACACAGGAAAUAAUAUUUACAAUAUGGUUCUUUAAUAGCCGUAAAUUUUAUUGUACCUAGCCUACGUUAUCAAAAUGAAAAUUAAUUGUCAAAGUAAAACAUUCAUCCCAAACUGUCCUUCCAUUAAUUAUUCCUGUUAAUGGACAUAAACAUUAGAUUAUAAAAUAAUAUCUGAUCGGUCAACGUUAAGGUUGAGGAUUUAUGCUGCACAACUGUACAUAAAUUUCAACUCUUCUAAUUUUUAAAUUAAAAAAUUGAUAUUUUGGCUGGUGUUAUCAAAGAAAACAUUUUAAUAAUUUAAUUCAAGUAAGUAUUUGUCAUACAUGUAUAACAUAUUUUGAGGGAACCAAACCACAAAGGCUUUCCCGUUUUUUUUUUCUUUUAAUUUUUAGAUAACAACAUGAACUACCGAAAAUUUUUGUAGGUGUUGUGUUGCUCAACCCUUCAUUGACCGAUAUAUUUUCUUACAAAUUUUUCUUCAUUAUUUUUUCCAAUAUUUUUUAGUUGCUAAAAUCUAAACAAUCUAGGGCAUAUAAUACUUACAAAUUUCAAAAUGUGUAAAAGGCGGUAUAGCAA